GGAGGAUUAGCUCAGCUGGGAGAGCGUCUGCCUUACAAGCAGGAUGUCGGGGGUUCGAACCCCUCAUCCUCCACCA
This 76-nucleotide transfer RNA is filed under the name Aerococcus agrisoli. RNAcentral's name for it is "Aerococcus sp. SJQ22 tRNA-Val". It matches the Rfam family "tRNA". Rfam says of the family: Transfer RNA (tRNA) molecules are approximately 80 nucleotides in length. Their secondary structure includes four short double-helical elements and three loops (D, anti-codon, and T loops). The record is from RNAcentral. Lineage: Bacteria; Bacillati; Bacillota; Bacilli; Lactobacillales; Aerococcaceae.